Molecule: ribosomal RNA, 216 nt
Filed under: Glomeromycotina sp.
Lineage: Eukaryota; Fungi; Glomeromycota
Description: partial small subunit ribosomal RNA
Rfam family: Eukaryotic small subunit ribosomal RNA (bases 40-216)
Source: RNAcentral
GGGUCAGUAGGUUGGUCGUGCCACCGGUACGUACUGGUCUCACUGAUUCCUCCUUCCUGAAGAACCGUAAUGCCAUUAAUUUGGUGUUGCGGGGAAACAGGACUAUUACUUUGAAAAAAUUAGGGUGUUUAAAGCAAGCUAACGCUUGAAUACAUUAGCAUGGAAUAAUGAAAUAGGACGAUCGAUCCUAUUUUGUUGGUUUCUAGGAUUGACGUA